GUCUACGGCCAUGCCACCCUGAACAAGCCCGAUCCUGUCUGACCUCAGAAGCUAAGCAGGGUCGGGCCUGGUUAAUACUUGGAUGGGAGACCACCUAGGAAGACCAGGUGCUGCAGGUG
RNAcentral lists this ribosomal RNA (119 nucleotides) under Pteropus alecto (black flying fox). The record is from RNAcentral. Lineage: Eukaryota; Metazoa; Chordata; Mammalia; Chiroptera; Pteropodidae.